RNAcentral lists this ribosomal RNA (690 nucleotides) under uncultured bacterium. RNAcentral's name for it is "bacterial SSU rRNA". It matches the Rfam family "Bacterial small subunit ribosomal RNA", at positions 32 to 715 of the family's 1533-position model. The record is from RNAcentral.
AACGCUAGCUACAGGCUUAACACAUGCAAGUCGAGGGGCAGCAUUAGGUAGCAAUACUGAGAUGGCGACCGGCGCACGGGUGCGUAACGCGUAUCCAACUUUCCCGCUACUCUGGGAUAGCCUUCCGAAAGGGAGAUUAAUACCGGAUGGUGUUGAAAUUUCGCAUGUUAUUUCAACUAAAGAUUUAUCGGUAACGGAUAGGGAUGCGUGACAUUAGGUAGAUGGCGGGGUAACGGCCCACCAUGCCUACGAUGUCUAGGGGUUCUGAGAGGAAGGUCCCCCACACUGGAACUGAGACACGGUCCAGACUCCUACGGGAGGCAGCAGUGAGGAAUAUUGGUCAAUGGUCGGAAGACUGAACCAGCCAAGUAGCGUGAAGGAUGAAGGUUCUAUGGAUUGUAAACUUCUUUUAUAUAGGAAUAAAACCUCCCACGUGUGGGAGCUUGUAUGUACUAUAUGAAUAAGCAUCGGCUAACUCCGUGCCAGCAGCCGCGGUAAUACGGAGGAUGCGAGCGUUAUCCGGAUUUAUUGGGUUUAAAGGGAGCGUAGACGGGAUGUUAAGUCAGUUGUGAAAGGCUGCGGCUCAACCGCAGCACUGCAGUUGAUACUGGCGUCCUUGAGUGCGGUUGAGGUGUGUGGAAUUCGUGGUGUAGCGGUGAAAUGCUUAGAUAUCACGAAGAACUCCGAUUG